This 379-nucleotide ribosomal RNA is filed under the name uncultured eukaryote. RNAcentral's name for it is "partial 18S ribosomal RNA". It matches the Rfam family "Eukaryotic small subunit ribosomal RNA", at positions 592 to 976 of the family's 1831-position model. The record is from RNAcentral.
CAAUAGCGUAUAUUAAAGUUGUUGCAGUUAAAAAGCUCGUAGUUGAACUUCAGGCUUGGCGGGGUGGCCUGCCUCACGGUAUGUACUACCCGGCCGAGCCUUACCUCCUGGUGAGCCUGCAUGCCGUUUAUUCGGUGUGUAGGGGAACCAGGAAUUUUACUUUGAAAAAAUUAGAGUGUUCAAAGCAGGCAUAUGCCCGAAUACAUUAGCAUGGAAAAAUAGAAUAGGACGUGCGGUUCUAUUUUGUUGGUUUCUAGGAUCGCCGUAAUGAUUAAUAGGGACGGUUGGGGGCAUUAGUAUUCAGUUGCUAGAGGUGAAAUUCUUAGAUUUACUGAAGACUGACUACUGCGAAAGCAUUUGCCAAGGACGUUUUCAUUAA